Molecule: ribosomal RNA, 492 nt
Filed under: uncultured bacterium
Lineage: Bacteria
Description: partial 16S ribosomal RNA
Rfam family: Bacterial small subunit ribosomal RNA
Source: RNAcentral
AGUGAACGCUGGCGGUAGGCCUAACACAUGCAAGUCGAACGGCAGCACAGUAAGAGCUUGCUCUUACGGGUGGCGAGUGGCGGACGGGUGAGGAAUACAUCGGAAUCUACUUUUUCGUGGGGGAUAACGUAGGGAAACUUACGCUAAUACCGCAUACGACCUACGGGUGAAAGCAGGGGAUCUUCGGACCUUGCGCGAUUGAAUGAGCCGAUGUCGGAUUAGCUAGUUGGCGGGGUAAAGGCCCACCAAGGCGACGAUCCGUAGCUGGUCUGAGAGGAUGAUCAGCCACACUGGAACUGAGACACGGUCCAGACUCCUACGGGAGGCAGCAGUGGGGGAUAUUGGACAAUGGGCGAAAGCCUGAUCCAGCCGUACCGCGUGGGUGAAGAAGGCCUUCGGGUUGUAAAGCCCUUUUGUUGGGAAAGAAAAGCAGCAGGUUAAUACCCCGCUGUUCUGACGGUACCCAAAGAAUAAGCACCGGCUAACUUCGUG